RNAcentral lists this ribosomal RNA (422 nucleotides) under uncultured bacterium. RNAcentral's name for it is "bacterial SSU rRNA". It matches the Rfam family "Bacterial small subunit ribosomal RNA", at positions 355 to 774 of the family's 1533-position model. The record is from RNAcentral.
UAAGGAAUAUUGGUCAAUGGACGCAAGUCUGAACCAGCCAUGCCGCGUGAAGGAUUAAGGCCCUCUGGGUUGUAAACUUCUUUUAUAGGGGAAGAAAUGUGACGGUUCUCCGUCACUUGACGGCACCCUGGGAAUAAGCACCGGCUAACUCCGUGCCAGCAGCCGCGGUAAUACGGAGGGUGCAAGCGUUAUCCGGAUUCACUGGGUUUAAAGGGUGCGUAGGUGGGCAGAUAAGUCAGUGGUGAAAUCUUCCGGCUUAACCGGGAAACUGCCGUUGAUACUAUUUGUCUUGAAUAUUGCGUAGGUAAGCGGAAUAUGUCAUGUAGCGGUGAAAUGCUUAGAUAUGACAUAGAACACCAAUUGCGAAGGCAGCUUACUACACAAUCAUUGACACUGAGGCACGAAAGCGUGGGUAGCGAACA